CAGUCGUACGCUUCUUUUUCCACCGGAGCUUGCUCCACCGGAAAAAGAAGAGUGGCGAACGGGUGAGUAACACGUGGGUAACCUGCCCAUCAGAAGGGGAUAACACUUGGAAACAGGUGCUAAUACCGUAUAACAAUCGAAACCGCAUGGUUUUGAUUUGAAAAGCGCUUUCGGGUGUCGCUGAUGGAUGGACCCGCGGUGCAUUAGCUAGUUGGUGAGGUAACGGCUCACCAAGGCCACGAUGCAUAGCCGACCUGAGAGGGUGAUCGGCCACAUUGGGACUGAGACACGGCCCAAACUCCUACGGGAGGCAGCAGUAGGGAAUCUUCGGCAAUGGACGAAAGUCUGACCGAGCAACGCCGCGUGAGUGAAGAAGGUUUUCGGAUCGUAAAACUCUGUUGUUAGAGAAGAACAAGGAUGAGAGUAACUGUUCAUCCCUUGACGGUAUCUAACCAGAAAGCCACGGCUAACUACGUGCCAGCAGCCGCGGUAAUACGUAGGUGGCAAGCGUUGUCCGGAUUUAUUGGGCGUAAAGCGAGCGCAGGCGGUUUCUUAAGUCUGAUGUGAAAGCCCCCGGCUCAACCGGGGAGGGUCAUUGGAAACUGGGAGACUUGAGUGCAGAAGAGGAGAGUGGAAUUCCAUGUGUAGCGGUGAAAUGCGUAGAUAUAUGGAGGAACACCAGUGGCGAAGGCGGCUCUCUGGUCUGUAACUGACGCUGAGGCUCGAAAGCGUGGGGAGCAAACAGGAUUAGAUA
Molecule: ribosomal RNA, 754 nt
Filed under: uncultured bacterium
Lineage: Bacteria
Description: bacterial SSU rRNA
Rfam family: Bacterial small subunit ribosomal RNA
Source: RNAcentral